This 1165-nucleotide ribosomal RNA is filed under the name Enterococcus faecium. Its description in RNAcentral is "partial 23S ribosomal RNA". It matches the Rfam family "Bacterial large subunit ribosomal RNA", at positions 332 to 1499 of the family's 2925-position model. The record is from RNAcentral. Lineage: Bacteria; Bacillati; Bacillota; Bacilli; Lactobacillales; Enterococcaceae.
GUCGAAUGACUUGGAAAAGUCAGUCAAAGAGGGUAAAAACCCCGUAGACGAAAUGUGGAAGACACCUAGGAGGAUCCUGAGUACGGCGGAACACGAGAAAUUCCGUCGGAAUCCGGGAGGACCAUCUCCCAAGGCUAAAUACUCCCUAGUGACCGAUAGUGAACCAGUACCGUGAGGGAAAGGUGAAAAGCACCCCGGAAGGGGAGUGAAAUAGAACCUGAAACCGUGUGCCUACAACAAGUCAAAGCCCGUUAAUGGGUGAUGGCGUGCCUUUUGUAGAAUGAACCGGCGAGUUACGAUUGCAUGCGAGGUUAAGUUGAAGAGACGGAGCCGCAGCGAAAGCGAGUCUGAAUAGGGCGUUUGAGUAUGUAGUCGUAGACCCGAAACCAUGUGAUCUACCCAUGUCCAGGUUGAAGGUGCGGUAAAACGCACUGGAGGACCGAACCCACGUACGUUGAAAAGUGCGGGGAUGAGGUGUGGGUAGCGGAGAAAUUCCAAACGAACUUGGAGAUAGCUGGUUCUCUCCGAAAUAGCUUUAGGGCUAGCCUCGGAAUUGAGAAUGAUGGAGGUAGAGCACUGUUUGGACUAGGGGCCCAUCUCGGGUUACCGAAUUCAGAUAAACUCCGAAUGCCAUUCAUUCAUAUCCGGGAGUCAGACUGUGAGUGAUAAGAUCCAUAGUCGAAAGGGAAACAGCCCAGACCACCAGCUAAGGUCCCAAAAUAUAUGUUAAGUGGAAAAGGAUGUGGGGUUGCACAGACAACUAGGAUGUUGGCUUAGAAGCAGCCACCAUUUAAAGAGUGCGUAAUAGCUCACUAGUCGAGUGACCCUGCGCCGAAAAUGUACCGGGGCUAAACAUAUUACCGAAGCUGUGGAGUACACCUUUAGGUGUAUUGGUAGGAGAGCGUUCUAAGGGCGUUGAAGGCAGAUCGUGAGGACUGCUGGAGCGCUUAGAAGUGAGAAUGCCGGUAUGAGUAGCGAAAGACAGGUGAGAAUCCUGUCCACCGAAUGACUAAGGUUUCCUGGGGAAGGCUCGUCCGCCCAGGGUUAGUCGGGACCUAAGCCGAGGCCGACAGGCGUAGGCGAUGGAUAACAGGUUGAUAUUCCUGUACCCGUUGUUUUUGUUUGAGCAAUGGAGGGACGCAGGAGGCUAAGGAAUGCAGACGAU